GUGUCUGUAGCUCAGUGGGUAGAGCGUUUGUAUCCUAUGCAGAAGGUUGUAGGUUCGACCCCUACCUAACGCG
Molecule: transfer RNA, 73 nt
Filed under: Spinacia oleracea (spinach)
Lineage: Eukaryota; Viridiplantae; Streptophyta; Magnoliopsida; Caryophyllales; Amaranthaceae
Rfam family: tRNA
About the family: Transfer RNA (tRNA) molecules are approximately 80 nucleotides in length. Their secondary structure includes four short double-helical elements and three loops (D, anti-codon, and T loops). Further hydrogen bonds mediate the characteristic L-shaped molecular structure. tRNAs have two regions of fundamental functional importance: the anti-codon, which is responsible for specific mRNA codon recognition, and the 3' end, to which the tRNAs corresponding amino acid is attached (by aminoacyl-tRNA synthetases). tRNAs cope with the degeneracy of the genetic code in two manners: having more than one tRNA (with a specific anti-codon) for a particular amino acid; and 'wobble' base-pairing, i.e. permitting non-standard base-pairing at the 3rd anti-codon position.
Source: Rfam by way of RNAcentral